ACGUACAAUUUCAAAAUCCCUGCCAAAUAUAUUAGAGGUCAUUCACAAGUAUGCUGAACCCGGGACCAGUCUAAAGACCUACAGUAUUCACAAAGUGCAUGGCUUUUGGGAAAAUGUCUCAAGAGAUUUGGGAGUGCCUAAUACAUGUCUUAAUAGGAAAAAAUUCUCAAAGCAGUCCUGCAGUAUGAAAAGACCACAUCAGGGGUAGAGGGUCCCUUGCUACAGACUGAUUUUCCUACUGCAGAGACAACACUUGGAGAUGAUGUUCCUUCCAUUAAUGAGGAAGACAUUGUUCUUGUGCCAAAGUCUCCACAAUCUGUAGGAAAUGUACCUUUACCUUCAAGAAAAGAGGAUGCACUUCAAAAAACUGCAGAGAGCGGCAUCCAGACCCCAGACACACAAUCCCUCGAGAGUGACUCUAAAUCUUCAUCUUCAAAUGCAAAUGCUACGAGGAAUGAAUCAGAUGAAUCAGCUAAGGUCAACACAGACAGUAGCAGUUCAGGAGAAAGAUUUUUCCC
Oreochromis niloticus (Nile tilapia) is the source of this 518-nucleotide long non-coding RNA. RefSeq lists it as uncharacterized. The record is from RefSeq and is a predicted model, not a curated record. The transcript has 5 exons. NCBI's taxonomy places the organism in Eukaryota, Metazoa, Chordata, Actinopteri, Cichliformes, Cichlidae.